UACAGAGGGUGCGAGCGUUAAUCGGAAUUACUGGGCGUAAAGCGUGCGUAGACGGUUAUCUAAGUCGGAUGUGAAAGCCCCGGGCUCAACCUGGGAAUUGCAUUCGAGACUGAAUAGCUAGGGUGCGGUAGAGGGAAGCGGAAUUUCCGGUGUAGCGGUGAAAUGCGUAGAUAUCUGGAGGAACACCGGUGGCGAAGGCGGCAUCCUGGACCAAUUCUGACGCUGAGGAGCGAAAGCCAGGGGAGCAAACGGG
RNAcentral lists this ribosomal RNA (253 nucleotides) under uncultured bacterium. Its description in RNAcentral is "partial 16S ribosomal RNA". It matches the Rfam family "Bacterial small subunit ribosomal RNA", at positions 524 to 776 of the family's 1533-position model. The record is from RNAcentral.